AAACCGAAUACUCAACAUUAAUUACAAUUACAAAACUCAUUACAAAAAUAAGCAUAGAAAUCAAAAUAAUAUUAUCAAUCACAGAACACAUUGCAGAAAUUAAAAUAAUAACCCAUUACAAUCACAGAACCCAUUACAGGCGCAAAUCCGUUGUUUGAUGUGUUGAUGCUGUGUAUAAAGAGAGAAAGGAAUGGUUCGUCUACAUCUAGAAGAAGGCAUGGUUUCUCUACAUCUAGAAAAAGGAAUGUUGUGUCUAGAAGAAGAAGAAAAAGAAGAAAGGGAUAGUUCGUCUAGCAGAAGAAGGAGGAGGAGGAAGGGAUGGCUCGUCUAGAAGAAGAAGAAGAAGAACGAGGGAGGUGUGGAGCUUCGCUUCAAUUCGUUUUUUUGAGAGAAGGAAUGGAUGAUAUAAAAUCUGAAAGAGAGAG
RNAcentral lists this unclassified non-coding RNA (425 nucleotides) under Hevea brasiliensis (rubber tree). Lineage: Eukaryota; Viridiplantae; Streptophyta; Magnoliopsida; Malpighiales; Euphorbiaceae. The record is from RNAcentral.